GGACGAACGCUGGCGGCGUGCUUAACACAUGCAAGUCGAGCGGUAAGGCCCUUUCGGGGGUUACGACGAGCGGCGAACGGGUGAGUAACACGUGGGUGACCUGCCCUUAGCUCUGGGAUAAGCCUGGGAAACUGGGUCUAAUACCGGAUAUGACUCCAUGACGCAUGUUGUGGGGUGGAAAGCCUUGUGCGGCUAGGGAUGGGCCCGCGGCCUAUCAGCUUGUUGGUGGGGUGAUGGCCUACCAAGGCGACGACGGGUAGCCGGCCUGAGAGGGCGACCGGCCACACUGGGACUGAGACACGGCCCAGACUCCUACGGGAGGCAGCAGUGGGGAAUCUUGCGCAAU
Molecule: ribosomal RNA, 346 nt
Filed under: uncultured bacterium
Lineage: Bacteria
Description: bacterial SSU rRNA
Rfam family: Bacterial small subunit ribosomal RNA
Source: RNAcentral